GUGAACGCUGGCGGUAGGCCUAACACAUGCCAGUCGAACGGCAGCACAGUAAGAGCUUGCUCUUACGGGUGGCGAGUGGCGGACGGGUGAGGAAUACAUCGGAAUCUACUUUUUCGUGGGGGAUAACGUAGGGAAACUUACGCUAAUACCGCAUACGACCUACGGGUGAAAGCCGGGGAUCUUCGGACCUUGCGCGAUUGAAUGAGCCGAUGUCGGAUUAGCUAGUUGGCGGGGUAAAGGCCCACCAAGGCGACGAUCCGUAGCUGGUCUGAGAGGAUGAUCAGCCACACUGGAACUGAGACACGGUCCAGACUCCUACGGGAGGCUGCAGUGGGGAAUAUUGGACAAUGGGCGCAAGCCUGAUCCAGCCAUACCGCGUGGGUGAAGAAGGCCUUCGGGUUGUAAAGCCCUUUUGUUGGGAAAGAAAAGCAGCAGGUUAAUACCCCGCUGUUCUGACGGUACCCAAAGAAUAAGCACCGGCUAACUUCGUG
RNAcentral lists this ribosomal RNA (491 nucleotides) under uncultured bacterium. RNAcentral describes it as "partial 16S ribosomal RNA". It matches the Rfam family "Bacterial small subunit ribosomal RNA", at positions 29 to 507 of the family's 1533-position model. The record is from RNAcentral.